AUUGAACGCUGGCGGCAUGCCUUACACAUGCAAGUCGAACGGCAGCACGGGUGCUUGCACCUGGUGGCGAGUGGCGAACGGGUGAGUAAUACAUCGGAACAUGUCCUGUAGUGGGGGAUAGCCCGGCGAAAGCCGGAUUAAUACCGCAUACGAUCUACGGAUGACAGCGGGGGACUUUCGGGCCUCGCGCUAUAGGGUUGGCCGAUGGCUGAUUAGCUAGUUGGUGGGGUAAAGGCCUACCAAGGCGACGAUCAGUAGCUGGUCUGAGAGGACGACAGGCGACACUGGGACUGAGCCACGGCCCAGACUCCUACGGGAGGCAGCAGUGGGGAAUUUUGGACAAAGGGCGGAAGCCUGAUCCAGCAAUGCCGCGUGUGUGAAGAAGGCCUUCGGGUUGUAAAGCACUUUUGUCCGGAAAGAAAUGCUUGGCCCUAAUACGGUCGGGGGAUGACGGUACCGGAAGAAUAAGCACCGGCUAACUACGUG
This 486-nucleotide ribosomal RNA is filed under the name uncultured bacterium. Its description in RNAcentral is "partial 16S ribosomal RNA". It matches the Rfam family "Bacterial small subunit ribosomal RNA", at positions 29 to 507 of the family's 1533-position model. The record is from RNAcentral.